UACGAGUGGUGCAAGCGUUAUUCGGAUUUAUUGGGCGUAAAGGGUGCGUAGACGGUGUAACAAGUCUGUUGUUAAAUUCCUCGGCUCAACCGAGGAUCUGCGAUGGAAACUGUUAUGCUAGAGGAUGGAAGAGAGAAGUGGAAUUCUUGGAGUAGCGGUAAAAUGCGUAGAUCUCAAGAGGAACACCAAUGGCGAAGGCAGCUUCUUGGUCCACUCCUGACGUUGAGGCACGAAAGCGUGGGGAGCAAACAGG
Molecule: ribosomal RNA, 253 nt
Filed under: uncultured bacterium
Lineage: Bacteria
Description: partial 16S ribosomal RNA
Rfam family: Bacterial small subunit ribosomal RNA
Source: RNAcentral